UACGGAGGGUGCAAGCGUUAUCCGGAUUUACUGGGUUUAAAGGGUGUGUAGGCGGGCUAUUAAGUCAGCGGUGAAAUCUCCGGGCUCAACCCGGAAACUGCCAUUGAUACUAUUAGUCUUGAAUUUUGUUGAGGUAGGCGGAAUAAGUCAUGUAGCGGUGAAAUGCAUAGAUAUGACUUAGAACACCAAUUGCGAAGGCAGCUUACUAAACAAAUAUUGACGCUGAGGCACGAAAGCGUGGGGAUCAAACAGG
Molecule: ribosomal RNA, 253 nt
Filed under: uncultured bacterium
Lineage: Bacteria
Description: partial 16S ribosomal RNA
Rfam family: Bacterial small subunit ribosomal RNA
Source: RNAcentral